UACGGGAGGCAGGAGUGGGGAAUAUUGCACAAUGGGCGAAAGCCUGAUGCAGCUAUGCCGCGUGUAUGAAGAAGGCCUUAGGGUUGUAAAGUACUUUCAUCGGGGAGGAAAAAACAAAACUAAUAAUUUUAUUUCUUGACGUUACCCGAAAAAGAAGCACCGGCUAACUCCGUGCCAGCAGCCGCGGUAAUACGGAGGGUGCUAGCGUUAAUCAGAAUUACUGGGCGUAAAGAGCACGUAGGUGGUUUUUUUAAGUCAGAUGUGAAAUCCCUGGGCUUAACCUAGGAACUGCAUUUUGAAACUGAAAUACUAGAGUAUCGUAGAGGGAGGUAGAAUUCUAGGUGUAGCGGUGAAAUGCGUAGAUAUCUGGAGGAAUACCUGUGGCGAAAGCGGCCUCCUAAACGAAUACUGACACUGAGGGUGCGAAAGCGUGGGGAGCAAACAGGGAUUAGAUACC
This 457-nucleotide ribosomal RNA is filed under the name uncultured bacterium. Its description in RNAcentral is "bacterial SSU rRNA". It matches the Rfam family "Bacterial small subunit ribosomal RNA", at positions 340 to 786 of the family's 1533-position model. The record is from RNAcentral.